AUCAGCUGUUUGCUAAAAUUUAAAUAACAAAAUGCCACGCGCAAGUGAAAAAGACAGAAAUUGUAGCAGUUUUGUGCCUAAAUCAUAUGAUUAAUUUACUGGAUAUGGGUUACAUUUUUUACGGCAUUUAUUUACAUAUUUAUUACACACCUUUACUAUUUUCCAGGCGACGAGGAAGAUGAAGCGAUUGAAAAUUUCAAUUCAUACAUGCAUUGUGUGCUAAAUAAUCGCAGAGGUGUUCACCUUGGCAUUCCAAAAUCAUGCGAAUGGGAGCAAACGGUGCUCAGAAAAUUCGAUGAUAACAGGUUCAAUCAAAUGAUUAAAAAGAUGAGAAGGAAUAUUUGAAGUAAGUUUACAAAAAUGACUGGACAUUGCUAGUAGUGAUAUCACACGAUAUCUGUUUAAGUUGCAGCGGCUUGGUGGUUUUACGUUUAAUCAAACCGCUGCCUUUGAAACUGCACAAUGAAAGAGAAACUUUGCAAUAUCAUCUAUGACAUCGAGAUGGAACAGUGAGUAGCGUUGGAAACAGCUGUGCUUGUCACUAAUAAAUAGCUUUCAACUAAUAUAAUAUUUUUUUGUACAAGCAUAUCGUGAGCGUGUGGAUGUUAUUGAAAAUGAAAAAAAUGUUACAGAAAAAAAAUAAAAAAAAAUUCUAAUAUUCACAAAUUUCAAAUUCAUCUUGAAGAUUCGCUGCAAAUAAAAGAUUCGGUCGUUAUUUUAGCUGAGAUGGCAAAGGAUCGCGAUGGCUUUUGGAUGUGUAUAGGAAACAAGAAAAUUAAGAAAAGUAUUACCGUAUCAUUCAUUAUUCAUUAUUUCCAUUAAAUGAAAAAUAUUUAAAAGAAGACGGUUUUUAUUACAAA
Long non-coding RNA from Bactrocera tryoni, 860 nucleotides. RefSeq lists it as uncharacterized. The record is from RefSeq and is a predicted model, not a curated record. Lineage: Eukaryota; Metazoa; Arthropoda; Insecta; Diptera; Tephritidae. The transcript is spliced from 3 exons.